CCGGCCCUGGGCGAACAUGGCGCCUCCCACCCGCAGCGCUCUGGAAGCGGAGCCGUCCUGGGUCCAAGGCGGCCGGCUGAGGGGCUCCGCGGCUCUGAAAGAGGAACGGCCAGGCCAGAGGAGAGCAGCGGCGCUUUAGGUGCCGUCUUUCCGGCGUCCGCGCGUCACGGGACUCGGAUCUUGCUCUUUUUGGCAGUCCCUGGAAGGAUGCACAAGGAUUUGAGUUUGGGCACCCAGGUGAUCCUAGCCUGGACCAGCUCUGGGUCUGGCUAUGUGCUUCGAGGGUCAUCCAUCUCCGUCUACUGCAACGCUGGUUCUGAGCAUCUGGACCGGAGACCACAGGCUGCGGGAUGGGCUGUAUGUGAACCCGAGUGCUCUAGCUCAGGUAGGCUGCACCAGCGUGGGCAGCACUUCCGUCUUUCUC
This is a long non-coding RNA of Neomonachus schauinslandi (Hawaiian monk seal), 424 nucleotides long. RefSeq lists it as uncharacterized. NCBI's taxonomy places the organism in Eukaryota, Metazoa, Chordata, Mammalia, Carnivora, Phocidae. The record is from RefSeq and is a predicted model, not a curated record. The transcript is spliced from 3 exons.